Molecule: ribosomal RNA, 775 nt
Filed under: uncultured Neocallimastigales
Lineage: Eukaryota; Fungi; Neocallimastigomycota; Neocallimastigomycetes; Neocallimastigales
Description: partial large subunit ribosomal RNA
Rfam family: Eukaryotic large subunit ribosomal RNA
Source: RNAcentral
UAUGUGAUCGUCUCUCGCAUAUCAAUAAGCGGAGGAAAAGAAACUAACAAGGAUUCCCCUAGUAACGGCGAGUGAAGCGGGAAGAGCUCAAAUUUGAAAUCUUAAAGGGUUUCCCUUUACGAAUUGUAGUUUAAAGAAGUGUUUUCUGUUGAGGUUUUCGGUAAAGUUCUUUGGAAUAGGACAUCAUAGAGGGUGAGAAUCCCGUAUUUGACCGUUACUUUCCAGCUAUGUGAUACACUUUCAAAGAGUCGGAUUGUUUGGGAAUGCAGUCCAAAAUGGGUGGUAAAUUUCAUCUAAAGCUAAAUAUUGGCGAGAGACCGAUAGCGAACAAGUACCGUGAGGGAAAGAUGAAAAGAACUUUGAAAAGAGAGUUAAACAGUACGUGAAAUUGUCAAAAGGGAAGCGUUUGACACCAGUGUUGUUUUUCUGAAAAUCAAUUAAAGAACUGUUUAUGCUAAGCUGUUUAGACUUUAUCAGCUAACUGUUUAGUUUUGAGCUUUUCUUUAAUGCACUUUUCAGUUAACAAGUCAACAUCAAUCUCUUUUGCUGUAAAAAAGCUUGAGGAAGGUGGCUUGAGAUUCGUCUUAAGUGUUUAUAGCCUCUUGCCUAUGCAGUCGGAGAGAUUGAGGUCUGCAGCGUAGAUCCUUCGGGGCUAAAUGCAUCUGUGCUAAGUUAUAGCAUUUUAUAGACAACUUGUUGACUAUGAUUUGUCUUGUAGCUUACUCGCUUAUGUUAUUUUACCUACGCUUAGGAUGUUGAUAUCGCGCUCUCACUG